RNAcentral lists this transfer RNA (72 nucleotides) under Camelus bactrianus (Bactrian camel). It matches the Rfam family "tRNA". Rfam says of the family: Transfer RNA (tRNA) molecules are approximately 80 nucleotides in length. The record is from Rfam by way of RNAcentral. Lineage: Eukaryota; Metazoa; Chordata; Mammalia; Artiodactyla; Camelidae. RNAcentral also lists the same sequence under 2 other names.
GUGGGUAUAGCUCAGUGGUAGAGCGUGUGCUUAGCAUGCUUGAGGUCCUGGGUUCAAUCCCCAGUACCUUCA